GACGAACGCUGGCGGCGUGCUUAACACAUGCAAGUCGAACGGAAAGGCCCUGCUUUUGUGGGGUGCUCGAGUGGCGAACGGGUGAGUAACACGUGAGUAACCUGCCCUUGACUUUGGGAUAACUUCAGGAAACUGGGGCUAAUACCGGAUAGGAGCUCCUGCUGCAUGGUGGGGGUUGGAAAGUUUCGGCGGUUGGGGAUGGACUCGCGGCUUAUCAGCUUGUUGGUGGGGUAGUGGCUUACCAAGGCUUUGACGGGUAGCCGGCCUGAGAGGGUGACCGGCCACACUGGGACUGAGAUACGGCCCAGACUCCUACGGGAGGCAGCAGUGGGGAAUAUUGCACAAUGGGCGGAAGCCUGAUGCAGCAACGCCGCGUGCGGGAUGCCGGCCUUCGGGUUGUAAACCGCUUUCGCCUGUGACGAAGCGUGAGUGACGGUAAUGGGUAAAGAAGCACCGGCUAACUACGUG
This 468-nucleotide ribosomal RNA is filed under the name uncultured bacterium. RNAcentral's name for it is "partial 16S ribosomal RNA". It matches the Rfam family "Bacterial small subunit ribosomal RNA", at positions 28 to 507 of the family's 1533-position model. The record is from RNAcentral.